UAAUACGGAGGGUGCAAGCGUUAUCCGGAAUCACUGGGUUUAAAGGGUGCGUAGGCGGGGGAUUAAGUCAGUGGUGAAAGCCUGUAGCUUAACUACAGAAUUGCCAUUGAUACUGAUUUUCUUGAAUUGGGUUGAGGUUAGCGGAAUGUGACAUGUAACGGUGAAAUGUUUAGAUAUGUCAUGGAACACCGAUUGCGAAGGCAGCUAGCUGGGCCUUGAUUGACGCUGAGGCACGAAAGCGUGGGUAGCGAACAGGAUUAGAUACCCUGGUAGUCCACGCCCUAAACGAUGCUAACUCGAUGUUUGGAUUUAGGUUUGAGCAUCCAAGGGAAACCGAUAAGUUAGCCACCUGGGGAGUACGACCGCAAGGUUGAAACUCAAAGGAAUUGACGG
RNAcentral lists this ribosomal RNA (393 nucleotides) under uncultured bacterium. RNAcentral describes it as "bacterial SSU rRNA". It matches the Rfam family "Bacterial small subunit ribosomal RNA", at positions 521 to 916 of the family's 1533-position model. The record is from RNAcentral.